AUAAGAAUGAGGAUAAUCUACUUAUCAUGAUUGUGAAGGUGAUUUCAGCAGAGAGAGGUUCAUUUAUUGCACUCCAGAUGUGUUGAUCCCUGAGAUUUUCCCACAUGUGGGAAACCCGACUGCAUAAUUUGA
This 132-nucleotide small nuclear RNA is filed under the name Nannospalax galili (Upper Galilee mountains blind mole rat). RNAcentral's name for it is "U1 spliceosomal RNA (ENSNGAG00000003728.1)". It matches the Rfam family "U1 spliceosomal RNA", at positions 11 to 132 of the family's 166-position model. Rfam says of the family: U1 is a small nuclear RNA (snRNA) component of the spliceosome (involved in pre-mRNA splicing). Its 5' end forms complementary base pairs with the 5' splice junction, thus defining the 5' donor site of an intron. There are significant differences in sequence and secondary structure between metazoan and yeast U1 snRNAs, the latter being much longer (568 nucleotides as compared to 164 nucleotides in human). Lineage: Eukaryota; Metazoa; Chordata; Mammalia; Rodentia; Spalacidae. The record is from RNAcentral.